Molecule: ribosomal RNA, 253 nt
Filed under: uncultured bacterium
Lineage: Bacteria
Description: partial 16S ribosomal RNA
Rfam family: Bacterial small subunit ribosomal RNA
Source: RNAcentral
UACGGAGGGGGCUAGCGUUGUUCGGAAUCACUGGGCGUAAAGCGCGCGUAGGCGGACUGUUAAGUCAGGGGUGAAAGUUUGGAGCUCAACUCUAGAAUUGCCUUCGAUACUGGGAGUCUUGAGAUCGGGUGAGGUGAGUGGAAUUUCUAGUGUAGAGGUGAAAUUCGUAGAUAUUAGGAAGAACACCAGUGGCGAAGGCGGCUCACUGGCCCAUAUCUGACGCUGAGGUGCGAAAGCGUGGGGAGCAAACAGG